Molecule: ribosomal RNA, 726 nt
Filed under: uncultured bacterium
Lineage: Bacteria
Description: bacterial SSU rRNA
Rfam family: Bacterial small subunit ribosomal RNA
Source: RNAcentral
GGGAUAACACUUGGAAACAGGUGCUAAUACCGUAUAACACUAUUUUCCGCAUGGAAGAAAGUUGAAAGGCGCUUUUGCGUCACUGAUGGAUGGACCCGCGGUGCAUUAGCUAGUUGGUGAGGUAACGGCUCACCAAGGCCACGAUGCAUAGCCGACCUGAGAGGGUGAUCGGCCACACUGGGACUGAGACACGGCCCAGACUCCUACGGGAGGCAGCAGUAGGGAAUCUUCGGCAAUGGACGAAAGUCUGACCGAGCAACGCCGCGUGAGUGAAGAAGGUUUUCGGAUCGUAAAACUCUGUUGUUAGAGAAGAACAAGGAUGAGAGUAGAACGUUCAUCCCUUGACGGUAUCUAACCAGAAAGCCACGGCUAACUACGUGCCAGCAGCCGCGGUAAUACGUAGGUGGCAAGCGUUGUCCGGAUUUAUUGGGCGUAAAGCGAGCGCAGGCGGUUUCUUAAGUCUGAUGUGAAAGCCCCCGGCUCAACCGGGGAGGGUCAUUGGAAACUGGGAGACUUGAGUGCAGAAGAGGAGAGUGGAAUUCCAUGUGUAGCGGUGAAAUGCGUAGAUAUAUGGAGGAACACCAGUGGCGAAGGCGGCUCUCUGGUCUGUAACUGACGCUGAGGCUCGAAAGCGUGGGGAGCGAACAGGAUUAGAUACCCUGGUAGUCCACGCCGUAAACGAUGAGUAUAGGUGUUGGAGGGUUUCCGCCCUUCAGUGCUGCAGCA